RNAcentral lists this ribosomal RNA (567 nucleotides) under uncultured Actinomycetes bacterium. Its description in RNAcentral is "bacterial SSU rRNA". It matches the Rfam family "Bacterial small subunit ribosomal RNA", at positions 338 to 916 of the family's 1533-position model. The record is from RNAcentral. Lineage: Bacteria; Bacillati; Actinomycetota; Actinomycetes.
CCUACGGGAGGCAGCAGUGGGGAAUAUUGGGCAAUGGAGGAAACUCUGACCCAGCGACGCCGCGUGAGGGAUGAAGGCCUUCGGGUUGUAAACCUCUUUCAGCAGGGAAUAAGCGAUAGUGAAGGUACCUGCAGAAGAAGCACCGGCUAACUAUGUGCCAGCAGCCGCGGUAAUACAUAGGGUGCAAGCGUUGUCCGGAAUUAUUGGGCGUAAAGAGCUCGUAGGUGGUCGAUCACGUCGGAUGUGAAAUUCUGAGGCUUAACCUCGGACCUGCAUUCGAUACGGGUUGACUAGAGUGUGGUAGGGGAGACUGGAAUUCCUGGUGUAGCGGUGGAAUGCGCAGAUAUCAGGAGGAACACCGAUGGCGAAGGCAGGUCUCUGGGCCAUUACUGACACUGAGGAGCGAAAGCGUGGGGAGCGAACAGGAUUAGAUACCCUGGUAGUCCACGCCGUAAACGGUGGGCGCUAGUUGUGGGAACCUUCCACGGUUUCUGCGACGCAGCUAACGCAUUAAGCGCCCCGCCUGGGGAGUACGGUCGCAAGACUAAAACUCAAAGGAAUUGACGG